AUUGAACGCUGGCGGCAGGCCUAACACAUGCAAGUCGAGCGGAUGAAGGGAGCUUGCUCCUGGAUUCAGCGGCGGACGGGUGAGUAAUGCCUAGGAAUCUGCCUGGUAGUGGGGGAUAACGUCCGGAAACGGGCGCUAAUACCGCAUACGUCCUGAGGGAGAAAGUGGGGGAUCUUCGGACCUCACGCUAUCAGAUGAGCCUAGGUCGGAUUAGCUAGUUGGUGGGGUAAAGGCCUACCAAGGCGACGAUCCGUAACUGGUCUGAGAGGAUGAUCAGUCACACUGGAACUGAGACACGGUCCAGACUCCUACGGGAGGCAGCAGUGGGGAAUAUUGGACAAUGGGCGAAAGCCUGAUCCAGCCAUGCCGCGUGUGUGAAGAAGGUCUUCGGAUUGUAAAGCACUUUAAGUUGGGAGGAAGGGCAGUAAGUUAAUAUCUUGCUGUUUUGACGUUACCAACAGAAUAAGCACCGACUAACUUCGUG
This 484-nucleotide ribosomal RNA is filed under the name uncultured bacterium. RNAcentral describes it as "partial 16S ribosomal RNA". It matches the Rfam family "Bacterial small subunit ribosomal RNA", at positions 30 to 507 of the family's 1533-position model. The record is from RNAcentral.